UACGGGGGGAGCAAGCGUUGUUCGGAUUUACUGGGCGUAAAGGGCUCGUAGGCGGUUUGUCGCGUCGGGAGUGAAAUCCACUGGCUUAACUGGUGGCUUGCUUUCGAUACGGGCAGACUGGAGGUAUGCAGGGGAGAACGGAAUUCCUGGUGUAGCGGUGAAAUGCGCAGAUAUCAGGAGGAACACCGGUGGCGAAGGCGGUUCUCUGGGCAUGUCCUGACGCUGAGGAGCGAAAGUGUGGGGAGCGAACAGG
RNAcentral lists this ribosomal RNA (253 nucleotides) under uncultured bacterium. RNAcentral's name for it is "partial 16S ribosomal RNA". It matches the Rfam family "Bacterial small subunit ribosomal RNA", at positions 524 to 776 of the family's 1533-position model. The record is from RNAcentral.